UCCAGCUCCGGGGAGGUUGUUUAUGGCAGCAGCCAGCUCCACGCUGCCGGCAGAUUCCCCAACCUGCCUUUGUGUCAACUUUCAACAAGCCUGCCAAAUAACGACAAUGGCACCCGGAUAUCAGAGGCGCUGGGAGGGGAAGGGGAGGAAGAAGAGGAGGAGGAAACAAGAGUGGGCUGCUAAGGAGAGCGGGGCCACGCGCGAGGAUGGCGUCCAUGGGGCAUGCAGCGGCCGUUGCUCCCGGCACUAUGAGCUGCUGCCUGGUGUCUGAGCCAGCCAGAGGAGGGCUGCGGGGGGACAACAAAUCCCAGCAGGCACACAGAGAUGCGCCCGCAGUGCUGGUGCUCCCCGAACCCAAUGUUUCUGCUCUGCCUGCACUAGGUGCCCCCCCAUGGCCGGAGCUCCCUGUCUGCUCUACAGCAGGAGGAAGGCAGCACGGUGCCGCAGGUAGCGGGUUUGGGGGCCCUCGCUCUCUUUGGGAAAGCCUUGCUGUCUUUCCGAGGGGUGUUUCCCUGUCGGCAAGGCAGAGACAGUGCUAACGCUACAUGAGCGGCACCGUGAAACCCUCCACGGAAGAAGGUCCCGCACACGCACGGCUCGGUCAUCGCGACUGCCACAGGGUGUCUCACGCGCCUCCAGCCUGCAAACAUCUCUGCACAUGCACAUGCAGAGCCACUUUGUUCUGCUUAAUCCUUGAAGCAAUAAAAGAAGGCUGCAUUAAGUCAAA
Molecule: long non-coding RNA, 727 nt
Organism: Aquila chrysaetos chrysaetos
Lineage: Eukaryota; Metazoa; Chordata; Aves; Accipitriformes; Accipitridae
Exons: 2
Source: RefSeq, a predicted model, not a curated record